AAAAAAUGUUAAAAAAAUAAAAAUAAAAAUCACAGGGCAGGCAUGAUUCUGUGUUUUAGGAUUAUUCUGUAGCCCGUGAAGGUUGCAGUGACAUUGCUUUUGCUAAAGGAGGCAGCAGGAGAGGCACUCCAGCCCUCUGACCAUCAUCGUGGCCCUCCUCUGGACCUGCUUCAACAGCUCUGCAUCCUUCUUGUAGUCUGGGCCCUAGGCCCAGACACGGUGUUCCAGGUGAGGCCUUACAAGGGCAGAGUAGAGAAGGACAGUCAUUCCCUUCUUAUCUGUCAUGACCAUCAAAGAGGUGAAAAGCAAACAACACUGGGAAACCAUCAGUGAAAGCAGUGAAAUGAGUGUGGAUUACAGGUGUAAAGGUGAGAGUGGCUGGAGAAGCAUGGAGCAUCAUUACUCCUCUACCAGAGCAAAGACACCAUCUGCAGUUGUUAUGUGGACAGCUGCCAUCUCCUGCUGUCCUCAGUGCUUCCUCUGUUACUCAUGGCUCUUGGACUUUGCAGAGAUGGUGUAAUUUUCUCUCAAUGCCUCAUGUCAGUUUAAUCAUCUCUCCUGAAGGGGGCUGUUCUCAGUGCUUGUUUCUGUCUGCCUCGGAUCCCUCACCUUUUUUGCAUUUGUUGGUACAGAAGAACUGACCUACAGCUCCAUAACCAGUCACUCAGGCAUCUGCUUCAGCAUCCUCUGGAACUCAGAAAGCUUCAGGUCCCUCAGUGAAAGGCCUGGGAAAUGCUGUAGCAUGUAGCUUUGGAGAGAACCUCCUCUGCGGGGAAGAAGUUUGCUAUUGCCUACUCCUAGGGUCUGCUUUAUGUCCUGCAACCAAAGCAGGAGCGGGAGAUUAAUUCCAUUAAAAUAAAA
Molecule: long non-coding RNA, 861 nt
Filed under: Gallus gallus (chicken)
Lineage: Eukaryota; Metazoa; Chordata; Aves; Galliformes; Phasianidae
Description: lncRNA (ENSGALG00010016005.1)
Source: RNAcentral